RNAcentral lists this ribosomal RNA (492 nucleotides) under uncultured bacterium. RNAcentral's name for it is "partial 16S ribosomal RNA". It matches the Rfam family "Bacterial small subunit ribosomal RNA", at positions 29 to 507 of the family's 1533-position model. The record is from RNAcentral.
AGUGAACGCUGGCGGUAGGCCUAACACAUGCAAGUCGAACGGCAGCACAGUAAGAGCUUGCUCUUACGGGUGGCGAGUGGCGGACGGGUGAGGAAUACAUCGGAAUCUACUUUUUCGUGGGGGAUAACGUAGGGAAACUUACGCUAAUACCGCAUACGACCUACGGGUGAAAGCAGGGGAUCUUCGGACCUUGCGCGAUUGAAUGAGCCGAUGUCGGAUUAGCUAGUUGGCGGGGUAAAGGCCCACCAAGGCGACGAUCCGUAGCUGGUCUGAGAGGAUGAUCAGCCACACUGGAACUGAGACACGGUCCCGACUCCUACGGGAGGCAGCAGUGGGGAAUAUUGGACAAUGGGCGCAAGACUGAUCCAGCCAUACCGCGUGGGUGAAGAAGGCCUUCGGGUUGUAAAGCACUUUUGUUGGGAAAGAAAAGCAGCAGGUUAAUACCCCGCUGUUCUGACGGUACCCAAAGAAUAAGCACCGGCUAACUUCGUG